AUGCUCCUCUUUUGUCCUAGACUGUACAAUUUAUGACCUCAAGUUCCUAAAUAUUUUGCUUGUUUGAUUUGAAAGACUAAUAAGAAAUAUUAUUGUUACAAGUUGAAAAGUUCUCUCAGUGUAUUUUUGCUUUCAUCAAUCUCCAAGUUAUGUUGAUUCAUCUCUAUGAUCUGUGGACACAAAAUAUUGAUCUCUUGUAAUUGAUAAUGUCAUCUACCAGGGAGUUACUGCUGUCCUUUGCGUUCUUUUUCCUUUCAUUUUGAGUCAUAAUGGAUGUUCUGUUCUCUAUAACUAUGGGGAAAUGCCACAUCUCUGGUCUUUUCACUGCACAUACAAGAGAACCUUUCCCUUUUCCUCGGAAGUUAAAAUUGUUGUGCCCUUGUUCUGGAUAUGAUUACGUUUGUUCUGCACACCUACAAUCUGUGGUUGCAUGCUGAAUGGGCGUUUUACUCCUGAAUUUCAGAGCAGUUGUGCUCUUUGUAAACUGCCGUUGAAGUUGUGUUAAGUGGUUUCAGAAUCAUGAAUUGAAAAGUUUGAGCAUGGAUGAACUUAAUUGUGGAAGUUGCUUCUAAUCAUGAUGGUCCUUCAGCUGGAAUCUGAGUGGCAUUACCCUUGCAGCAAUCAAUGUUUUUAUACUUCGGAUUUGAGUAGUCUAUUUUUUCAGUCAAAGGAAAAUAUUUUGUGUCUUUGUUUACAAGAAGACUUCAUUCAUUCCAUAGAUAUAUUUUAGGUGCAAGAGCCUUUGGAAGUAUAACUUGUUUGGUUUGAAGUAUUUGCAUUAGCUUAAAUUUGAUUCGAGGCUUACGUUAACUGGCUUUCCUCUGUUGAGCUAGAAUCUAGUGAAUUACCUACUCUGAAUCUGUGAAUGAGCUUUUUUGUUCUGAAACGAUGGUCAUAGGCUACCUACUAGGUCAUGACUUUGAAAGCUUUGAUUAUGUGUAGUCUGGAUGUUCAACCACUAAAAUGGUAGAAUGUACCAUGUUUCCUUGAUGGUCUUGAUGGUCAUGGGCUACCUACUGGUCUGGAUGUUAAACUACUAAACUGGUAGAAUGUGCUAUGUUUCCUUGAUGUGGUGUUGCCAAACCUUCAUCUGUUACUGAUAACAGAUUCGAGAAAUCGUGGUGAUUUAGGUUUUAAGAUUUGAAUACUAUUGAGGAUCUUCUCAUUUUUUUCUUUUGGAAAUUUUCCUGUAGAAAAAAUGUAAAAGUAGUCGACUGCAAACUAACGGAUUGCAGAAACCAUAAGAAAAAGAAUCCUAAAAAGUGAAGAAUCCAAAUAAUACAGUGCAGCUGGAAUUGCCAUAUUAUAGCUGUAUAUAUGACCUUCAAAAUCACCCAAAGAAAAACAAUUGAAUUCUGCAUAUACAUGAUUAACUACAAUCAAGCACAUAAACAACUAAAGAAUUGAUUUAACAAACUAAUUAACCAUCUAUAAUCAUGGAAAUGUUUAGACCUUAAUCAGAACAAAGUGCAACCACAGCUGCACCAUUUCUUCAGGCUUCAAUCCUCUUCACAAUAUACUUCAUAAUUGUUCAUAUACUUCUUUUUGAACUUUAUUCUAGAUUGAGCAAGUGAUGCAUGACUCGAUUAAAAGGGCGUUUAUUAUUGCUUCUAGUUUGUUAUGGAUGUUGAAUUUGCCUCUCUCUUCUUCUGUCAGGAACCCAUGUUGGAGAACAUGCUACACUGGAAUUGCUAAUCUUUGAAGCCCAGGAUUGACAUCUGAAAAAGGCAAAUUCUUUUCAAUCACCAAAAACAGGGUCCUCUGCCGCGCCCAAAAUUGUUUAUGUAAUUGUUCAACACCAGUGGAAUUGUGGUUGUUUUUUUCCCUCUGGAGGAGGACUAGAGUCACCAGUUUGCUGCAUCGUCACUUGAUCAUGAAUAUUGAUCACAAGAGGCUCUUCUUAAAAGUCUUCAUCUUUCUUUGCCCACACAAUUCCUUUGAGGCUGUUGAUUUUUGCUCAAAGAAUGGUUCUUGUUGAUAAAGAAUGAGCAAACUGAACUCGGUACUUUUUGCCGACCAAACCAUUCUUUUCCCUUAUCCUCCAAAGCAUUCUUCAAAGGUACUGCCUAUUCACUUGAUGGACAAAGUCCAACCUCAUCAGCAGAAUUCUUCUUGUCUUUGGCAAUCUGGUUCUAGUACUUCUUUGCAAAAGAACCAAUUUUUUACCCUUAUUCACCAAAGAUUUUUUGAAAGGCACCAUUUUUUUUUUAAAUCAAGGGACAAAAUCAACUCAUCUUGAAUAGAAAUGAACCUUGCUCUGCAAAGAUUAAUUCUCUUUCGAGGGCAUAGGUGAAAACUUAAAACCACCAUUCUUGAUUUUCCAUGUGAUAUGGUGAUCAGAAUUCUAGAAACAAAAAUGCAAAUUUUUAGCUAGAAUUAAACAGUAUAUUUCAACAAUGAAAUCUGCAAUUCAAAUUCUCAUUAAUUGAUCUAAUUGAAGUAACAGAGCUACAGAAAAAGUGGAACAGGAAAGAAGGGGAAUUGAGAAUGCAGGAAAACUUGGCGAAUAAGGAUGAGAGAGAAACCUCGAUAGAGCAAUCUUCGCCAAGUUGCAUACGCAAAACAGGAUCCAAAAUCUGACGAAAUACAUCCAAUCCUACUACGAUACAGCUACUGCAAAUAACUAACUCCACAUCAUCCUGCUUACAUUGUGAAAAGUGAGCAAAUGGAAAGUGAUAGCUUGAGCCAAAGCUUCACGCAUGCACUGCUUCUUGGCGAAGUAAAGCGUGAUCCAAACUCGCGCCUUCGUCCCCAAUCUUCCAGUAAUCAAACCAGGUCUCUCUUCUCGGCUUCGCGCCUUCGGUACAAAAUAGCAGAAAUAACAGCAUUUCAACCUACCCUUUCACCAUUUGGGUUUUGUUAAUUUCCUUAAGCUGUUUGUCUUUUUGGAAGAGCAUUUACCAAGAGAAAAUAGUUGCUUUAGUUCCUUAUCUAAAUGGAUCUAGCAAGAUUAGCAUUUAUCUGAGCAGUAAUUUUAAGGUAUACUACUAGUAUCACUCCGUAGACAGCAUGGCAGAAGAAUUGUAGAAAGGGUAAAAUACAAAAACCCCCUUAUGUUUUGGGGUUCGGUCACGAUGCCUCCUCAUUAUUUAAAAACCCUCACAUAAUCCCCUUGUACUUUGGAUUUCUUUGAAACUUGGACAGAAAUCAUCCAAAUUAGCAGAGUUUGAAUGCACGCGCGUGUCCAGCAAGUUUCAAGAACAAGAGUAUAUAUGCGGCUUAGUCGACCAUUCACAAGACAAUAAUAUAUGUUCAAAUGAAGUUUAUUGAAGAUUAGAGUUUAGGAGCUUACAACGUCAAAACUUGCUUGAUUGUUGAUUGAAGCUUCCUCCCAAGUUUAAAGUCUAAACGAGUUUGUAUUUUAGAGAGAAGGAGGAGGAUUUCUUCACCUUAGAGAGAAGUGAGUUGAAGGAAUUGUGGCUCUGUUUGGAUUCAAGUAUUUUUCAAAAACUAGCUUUUCAAAUAUAAUGCUAUAAUAAUAUAUGAACAAAAACAACUCCAAAACACUUAUCCAUACAACAUAUAAAAUACAACUCACAAAUAUACAAAAACAUUUUAAAAAAUUAAAUUUUACAAUAUCUUCCACCUAUCAUCACCCACCAACCCCACCCACCAUUGCCACCACCCCUCCUUCUUUGUUUCUCCUCCCUCUUCUUUCUUUCUUCCUCCUUUCUUCCUCCCUCUCUCUCUUUCUCGCCACCCCUGCCUCUCCCUUCCCCACUCUAAUCUAGCUUCAACUAGAUUGUGAUAGGGAAGAGGGGAGGGAAGGGGAGGGGCCAGAUCGGGAGGGGGGGAAAGGGAGGGGCGGGGGGUGGCGAGGAAGAGAGGGGGGGACGAGAAAGAAGGAAAAAGGAGGUGGUGACUACUGUGGAUGGGGGUGGUGGCAGUUAUGAGUGGUAGUGUUAAUUUUUAAAAAGAACUUUAAAUUUUUUUAAUUUUAAAAAAUACUCCAAAAUAUAUUCCAAAAUUCCCUGCAAAAACACCACAUCAAAUCUCCUGAUCUGGCCCCCCCCUCUUCCUAUCACAAUCUAGUUGAAGCUAGAUUAGAGUGGGGAAGGGAGGGGCGGCGGUGGCGAGGAAGAGAGAGGGGGAGGAGAAAGAAGGAAAAAGGAGGUGGUGGCUAUUGUGGAUGGGGGUGGUGGUAGUUUUGAGUGAUAGUGUUAAUUUUUAAAAAGGACUUUAAAAUUUUUUUAAUUUUAAAAAAUACCCCAAAAUAUAUUCCAAAAUUCCUUGCAAAAACACCACAUCAAAUGGUGAGUUUGAGGGUAUUUAUAGCAAAAUUUUUGUUUUAUAACAGUACUUGCUACAAUAUAUAUUACCUAUAGUGUUGCUACAAUGUGCGCUACAGUGUACAAUAUAGUUUUUACUGUCAUGUUUGCACAGUAUCUUGACGGAUCUCUAUUGUGAUUUUCAACAUUACUGUUUACAAUUGUUUAUUGUUUGUACAACUUAUUAAAUUUGUGAGAAAAUUCAUAACAGCUGGUUCUUGUUUAGGUACUUGUGGUUUUCCUUCUGAUUGUAAUUGAAAAAAGAUUGUUGGAGUUGUUGGACAUAUUCUUGUUUAUCCGUAAUUGAGGCUAGGUUUGCUACUGUUAUAGACUUCUGCUGCAAAAACUGGCUUGUUUGUAGAUCUCUUGAUUUGAUUGAUUUUGGAUUCUUUUCAAACCAUGCUUGAAUGUUUGUUGGUUGAAUGAAGUCUUUUGUAAAUGCUGGCCACAAUUUCGUAUACUCCUAUCAGAUAAGGAUUGGAAGAAAUUGGGUUUGUUUGAGAUAUUCAUACUUCUACUGAUAUACCCAUGCUACAGAAAAGAUUGAAGACUAGUGUAGGCUGGUGAGAAUAUAAUUGCUUGGUGAUUCAAAUUAGUUGGUAACCUUCUUUCACAUCUGGUGCGAGUAUCUGCAGGUUUGGUCAGUGUGCAUUCCACCAGGUUACAAACCAGGCAAGGAAAUUGUACUUCUUUGUCUUCAUAAAAUAGAGUAGGUGUGAAUGCUGGUUUAGUUCAUUUUGUAAUGAAAAGGUAUGAAACGAAGAUGCCUUAUAAUCCCAAUAGGUUUAUCCAAGAGGAUUAAAAGGAAUUGUGAAUGGUUUAGGUCAACUUAGGUUGAUUCCCUAUUCAAAGGGCCUAAUAACUUUGGGAAUUUGUGCCCAAGAAUGGGUAUUGACUAUGGGAUUACCAUUGUUGUCUUUUUCUAUGGGAUUACCAUUCUUGUCUUUUAAUUCUCUGUCAUGAGGUUUGAAGGUUAUAGACUAGGAAUCUGUCAAGAUAAGUUUAUGUUAUAGACUGGGAAUCUGUCAAGAUAACUUUGUAGUAUUUUAGGGUUUCAGUUACUGUUUGAAGUACAAAAUGAUGGUUUGGAGGGAUAAUAGAUUUGGCAAAUUUGUUUGGGUCAUUUUGUAGAUCUAGCUCAGUUAGGAUGAGGUUCAUGAAUGAAUUUGUUUUAAAGUAGUUGCUAGGGAUGGUUGGUUUAAAUGAUUUUUGUUUGGACAAUUGUUUUCCUAUAUUUGGAGCAGGGGGUUUUAAUUAUUGUUGACAACUUGGACUGAGAGUACCAAAUUGCUUAAGGUUUAGAUAAGCAAGUGCCUUUGUUCCUCAACCAUAGAGCUCUAGCUCAGUGGCCACCACCACUCUUGGUGGGGUGGGAGGUCAGGGGUUCAAUCCUUGGCUCCCAUCAAAUUGUCACUUUAGGUGCAGUCUAAUUGACUUUCUUCGAUUCCUUCCUUUCCCCCUAGAUUAGGAUAGAUUAGGUUAUAGGAAUUCUGUCGUUUCGACAAAAAAAAUAAAAGUGCUUUUGUUCCUCUUCUUCAACCAUAUCAACCCAUGAUUUUAAUGGAAGAGAAAAUAGGGGUUGUACCAGGCUAUUGGCUCGUAUAGGUUUUGGGUCAGUUGGAAAAUUUCAAUCAUGGGUUGUUUCUCUACCUUUUUGGAUGUUUGGGAUGAAUUUGAGGAGCUUGGUGAGUUUGAAUCGGGGUUUUGUGGGUUUAUCAAGUGACAAAGUGAAGUUUCUUGGGCCUCUAAGGCUGCUGCUAUUGCUUUUUCUUUCUGGUCAUUAUUUCUCUACAAGACUUCACGAGUUAGAUAAUUAGGAAACGAGUUUGAGGACUCUUUAAUAUAUUCAAUCUCAAAAUUAAAGAUUGAUAAAAUUAUUUGCCAGCUAGUAUAAAUCUGUUUCGAGACAAGGUUUUUAACAUUUUUUUCUAAAAUAUGUUUUGCUAAUUUACAAUCUACUGUUAAUAAAAACUUUUGGUUUAAUAACUCUCCUUGAAAUUUUGAAACACAUAAAGCAAUAGCUAAAACUUCUUUUUUAAUAGUAGAAUAGUUUUGUUGGGAAUUAUUCCAAUGUUUAGAGGUAAAGGCAAUAAUUUGUUCUUUGCCAUCUUUAGAUUGUUUGGUAUGCCACCAUAACAUGUAUCUGAGGCAUCAGUUUCAACUAUUUUAAGGAUUGCUUGAUUAGGGAGAGAACGACAAGGAAUGAAUUUCAUUUCGGCUUUAAUUUGGCGGAUUAUGUGAGUAUGUUUGUCUGUCCACAAGGUGAUAAUUUUUUGAGUCUAUCAUACAAAGAUUUGGCUAGGUUAUUGAGAUCGGGAUAAAGUCUGCAAUGUAAUUGAGACAUCUCAAAAACCUUUGAAGUUGUUUUUAAAGGAUUUUAUCUGAGAAUUUGCGAGCAAAUUGGAUGAUCUUUUUAUAGGAUAAUCGUUCCUAGGUAAAAUUCGACAUAUCGUUUGUAAACUAUGACAAAAUUAGCCGGUCUCUGAUAUCUUGAUUCAGUUUUUCAACUUUUUGUAAAUUCCCAUUCUUGCACAAAAAAAGCUACUUACUGUUUCUUGUGUAAUUACUCUGAAAACUGUGUUGGAGUGUUCCCAAGAUGAUUUCAUGGGAAAACUGUUGGAUAUUUUAAUAAAAAAGAUCAUUAUUAUUUUGAAUUCAUUCACAUGCUUAUUUUGAAUUCAAAUACAAUGAGUUACAAAUUUUGAAAUGAAUUUUCAGUUACAAAAUGACCAUUAAAAAUGUAACUUAUGAGUUACAAAUUUUGAAAUGAAUUUUCAGUUACAAGAUCACCAUUAAAAAUGUAACUUAUGAGAUUUAUGUCUUGUUUUUUGUAACCUAUGUGAUGAUUAGGUUUUAAGAAUUGAUUUAUUAAAUUUUGACUAUUAUACAAUGACUUAGACCUUUUCAAAUUUUGUAACUGAAAAUAUGACACAUUUAUUCCAUUUAAUGGUGGUAUUCUAAUACUCCUAAAAUUCUAGCCUAUAAAUAGAGGCCACUAUCAACCAAGUUUUAGACACUUUUCUUGCUAUCUCAAAAAACUAUCUUCCUCUCACUUCUAUUGGACAUUAGUUGUUGAGAAGAGCUUUAGCUUCUCUAAAUUGUGUAGAUUUAGUAGAAGCAACAGCAUAGGCUGGGCUGUUGUACCCCAGAGACAACGUGCCAUCAACCUUCUACACCGGGCAUAAUCCCGAGAGGGGCGCGAAUCGUCUUAAGAGAGCGACCUAGUCCACGCCCCACCUAGCCAAAAUUACUUUACUUCUCUUUCUUUGACUUUUGUUUUGCAGGUUGAUCGGGCAUAUCAAGUUCUAAAGGAACAAUAAAUACCAAUCACAAGCGUCAAGUAUUGCAGACUGUAGUAGAUGAAGAAUUUGGCUAAUUGAUUAAAAUAUUGUUAGAUGACAAAAAAGUUAGUCAAAUGUGGUGGCUUGGCUGAUUGGUAUCAAUAUAUGCUCGUCGUGCCAUCAAUUUUUUUUAAAAAAAGCUUUCUGGCCGUCGCGCCAUAUAGGAGCGACGGCUAGAGAAUGCAGAAAUUUUUUUUUUAAAUCUUUCUAGCCGUUGCGCCAUGUAGGAGUGACGGUCAGAGAAUUCAGAAAUUUUUUAAAAAAAAAAAAACCUUCGGUCGUCACGCCAUUCAGAAAUGUUUUUUUUAACCUUUCUACAAUUCAGAAAAAUUUUUUCUUUUAAAAAUUAUUUAAAAUCAAAAUUUUUAAAAACAAUGCAGACAGUCCGACAAAAUUUUAAGAACAAACACUGGCCUCGCGUAGCAUUUUAGCAUUUUAAAGGAUGCUAGAUUUUAAAAAUUUGAUCCAUUUGUUAAAUGAUUUAGGGGUUCGUUAAAGAAUUAAGGUUUACCAUUUUAGCAAGUUUAAGUUAUAUAACAUGUUUAAUUAUUAUGCUUGUUAAAUUUAGAAAAUGGUUUAAUAAUAUGAUUUAAGUUUAAGUGAUUGCAUAAUGGAUGGAAGUAUUGCUUAAUAUUAUUAUGAUUUGUUAAUUUUAACUUUAUUAUCUAUAAUUCCGAUAGAAUGUUAAAGGAGCCGUAAUUGUCUUAAAAAAUGAAAAAUUACAACACGAAUUGCAAUUUUUAUAUUUAAAUUUUCAUAUAAAAUGCAAUCAUAUAAAAAGAUUAAUAACAUAUUUGUAGAAAUGAAGAAUUGUUUGUGUGUCAUUAUUUGGUAUACGAUAAUUAGUUUAAAUAAUUUAAUCAAUUAAAAUAGCCAUAAAAUAACUAGUACUUAUUUGUUUUGUAGGUAUUAUCCUAUAGGGACCCUUCUAUCCAAUUAUAGGGUUUAAUAAAAUAACUUGUACUUCUCUAUUUUUAAAAUAUUUAAUGUUAUUCAAAUUGAAAGUGAUUGGAUUAAACAGAAAAAGUAGGCAACUAAAUUAAAUUAAAUGUCAAGAUUGUGUGGAAUGCAUUAAAUGGAUGAGAUAUAAAACAUUGUCGAAAACAAAAUAAUAUCGAUGCCUCGUCGUUUUCUUGCCCUUACCCUUGGCCUAGCUAAAAUGGUAAAAAUUAAUUCUUUAAGAAACCCCUAAAUCCUUUAACAAAUGGAUCAAAAUUUUAAAACCUAGCAUCCUUUAAAAUGCUACGCGAGACCAGUGUUUGUUUUUAAAAUUUUGUCGGACUGUCUGAAUUGUUUUUAAAAGUUUUGAUUUUAAAUAAUUUUUAAAAGAAAUUUUUUUUCUGAAUUGUAGAAAGAUUAAAAAAACAUUUCUGAAUGGCGUGACGGCCGAAGAAUUUUUUUUUAAAAAAAAUUUCUGAAUUCUCUGGCCAUCGAUCCUACAUGGCGCGAUGGCUGGAAAGAUUAAAAAAAAUUUUCUGCAUUCUCUGGCCGUCGCUCCUAUAUGGCUCGAUGGGCCAGAAAGCUUGUUUAAAAAAAUUGCCCGUCGUGCCAAGAUGGCACGAUAGGCAUAUAUUGAUACCAAUCAGCCAAGCCACCAUAUUUGACCGACUUUUUUCUAUCAUCUAACAAUAUUUUGAUCAAUUACCCGAAGUGGAUCAGCUUAUAAAAGAAAAGUUCGGUCUACUUGUGAAGGAAGUAAUAGCCACACAUUGAUAGUCAGUCGGUACGAAUCACUGUAUAUAGCAAGUAGUUAACUUUAACUUUGGAAUGAGGUGAUCCCUCUUCCUCCUAAGCUUUUUUCUUUUUAAAAAAUAUAAAAUGAAAAAAAUGAGAAAGGAUAUCCUUUUCCCUUAUAUAUAAAUCUGAAGGGUAAAAAUCAUACACUUCCACCAAAAAUAAGCAAAAAAUAGCAAACAAUACUUAGUGCAUUAUCGACCGAGAAUUUACUUGAUAAGGGAAAAAUGCACUUUUCAUCCCUAUUGUUUGGGUGUUGGAUAAUUUCAUCUCUAAAGAUUCAAGUAAAACACAUUUCAUCCUCAUAGUUUUAUAAUUUUUACCAAUUUCAUCCUUAAAGUUUGAUGCAAACACAUUUCAUCCUUAUAAGUUCAUAAAUUUGACUAAUUAAGGACAAUUGAUGGAUUGUCAAGCAAUUCGAAGGGGAAAAACCCACUUUUCGUCCUUAAACUGUUAGUUAGGGACACAUUUUGUUCCCAAACUUUUAGACGCACCAUAUUUAGUACAUGAAUUAAUUAUUUUGGACCACAUUUAGUCUAAAAACGGUAAAAUAUUCAAUUUGGAUGGAGAAGUUUGACGUGGCCGUUAAUUUUGACUGAGAAAUUAUUUUUACUUAACGGUCACAUGUCAAACGUGACUUUCUCCAUCCAAAUUAAUCAAUUUACCGUUUUUGGACUAAAUGCGGCAAAAAAUAAUUAAUUCAUGUACUAAAUGUGGUGCGUCUAAAAGUUUGAGGAUGAAAUGUAUCCCUGUCUCAAAGUUUAGGGACGAAAAGUGGAUUUUUCCUCUAGCAGAACUAUUCUUUCCAAUAGAUUGCACCAAACAAUAUGUUAUCACAAGCUGCACGUCAUUUUUGGAUUCUAUAUAAGGGAAAAAUCCACUUUUCGUUCCUAAAUUUUGAGUUAGAGACACAUUUUGUCCCCAAAUAUUUUGACAAAACACAUUUAGUACACAAAUUAACAAUUUCUAGCCACAUUUAGUUAAAACAAAGGUAAAUUGCUCAAUUUGAGAAAUUUUAGGGCAAGUACGAAUUGAAGAUGAAGUUUUGCUGCUUGAUAUGGUGGAUUACUCCAUUAACUCUACUCCAUUUCUUGGUAGAUUGUAGAUUUGGAAGCUAGGGUUUAAGGAUGGAAAUUGUAAAUCGGUGUGAAAAGGGGAAAUUUGGAGAAGGAAAGCGACGAAGGUAAGAGAGAAUAAAAUGGUGGGUUUUGUUUCAUUGGUUUAGACUGAUAUUUUACUUUUUGUUGAUGGCCACAUGAUACAUACAUGGCCUUCUCCAUCCAAAUUGAGCAAUUUACUGUUUUUGGACUAAAUGUGGCCAGAAAUUGUUAAUUCGUGUACUAAAUGUAUUCUGUCGAAAAGUUGGGUCUCUAGUUAAAAGUGUAGGGAUGAAAAGUGGAUUUAUUGGAAUGUCAUCAUUUGACCAAGGAAUGUCAGUUAGUAAAAUACAAAAAACAUUGGACCAACAAAAUCCUCAAAAUUUGUUUUUUAAUUCACUUUCUUGUUUAAAAAAUAAAAAAAUUUUAGCCACCAUUAUUCUCUUCUUCAUCACAAAUUGAACAAAAAGAUCGAAAGGAAAUGAAGUUGUGGAGAAGAAAUAACCCAAUUGUAGCCAAUUGGACAAAUUUUUCAAACAAUUCCAUUGCAACCAAUUGAAGAAAAAUAUUAAACUGAAAGAAAUAAUUGUUUAGAUUGUCAUUUAUUUGCAAAACUUUGUUUUAUUGCAUCAUAUACAUGUUUUUCAAGUUGUCUAUCUAUCAUCUAAUCUAUUUUUUUUUAUCUCACAUAUAUCAUAUCACAAAUUAAAAAAAUAGUUUCUUAUUCGAACACACUCAUUAUUAUUUAUAUAAUUUAAUCAAUGACUGAAUUAAGUAUAAAUAAUACAAUUAUUAACAGGAAAUGCUAGUCAUGUGAUGAUAUUCCAUUCAAAUUGGUUAACAAUCAUUCAAUUGUCCUUAAUUGGUCAAAUUUAUGAAACUGUGAGGAUGAAAUGCGUUUGUAUGAAACUUUAGGGAUGAAAUUGAUCACAAUUAUAAAAAUACGAGGAUGAAAUGGAUUUUGAUUAAAAUUUUAGGGCUGAAAUUGUCCAGCACCCCAAACAUUGGGGAUGAAAAAUGCAUUUUCCCUACUUGAUAAGGACUUAGAUAUAAAGAAUUAUUAAAACAGUCACUACUUAACGGUCAUUUGGCAUAGAGUUCUUGAAAACUGAAAUGGCUUGUAGUAAAAGAAAUUGGAUUCUUGACAAGUAAUUAUUUACAUUAGAAAAAUUUGUGUUAACUUCUUGCACAUAAGCUUCUCAAUUGUCUUUUCCAUUUGGACUUUCGUGCUUGUGCAUCGGUUUUGCAUGUGCCAUUAAAUGAAAGCUACGUAAAAACAAGCCCUGGAAUUUCUUGGGAUCUCCUUCCCUGUAUAAACCUUAUGCUCGAGUAGCUAUUUGCAAACGUAAAACAAGCCAUGGAAUUCCUAGGGCAUAUCCUUCUUGUACUUCUAGUCAUUUUCCAUGUGCAUGGGGCAAAUGCCUUUGCCCAUGGAGUGUCCGCAAGGGCUCGUGGCUUGCACAAAAUUGACCGUGGUGAUGCCCCAUUAUCGCCAAGCUUUGGUAUAGAUGUACUCAACCGGAGCAGUUUCCCCAAAGGGUUCGUCUUUGGGGUUGCAACUUCUGCUUAUCAGGUUUGCAAUCUAUUUAUUUAGCAUUGUUUUCUUAAUUUUUUUCAUCAAGGAUGGAAUUUAAGAAACAGAAAAGUGGUAAGCGAUUUAAAUCCAAAAUCACUAAUUCUUAGGAUUUCAAACUUCACCACUACAUUAAGGCUUUCACAGAUAUUUAGUAGUUGAUUUCAUGAUGCCAGCCAUGUUUCUCAUUUUUGGAUAUCCUAAAAUAUUUGUGAUGCUUUGACCAGUGCAGUUAAAAUUUUUUAUUUUUUGUGUUCAUUUAAUGUAUUUUAUUUAUUGCACCUUGAUCCUUUUCUGUAGUUGGAAUUCUGAAUUUGGAAGUAAAAGAGUAGAUGAUUAGACGACUAUGAGUAUCCCUCCGUUGUCGCUAAGAAGUUUAGAACGGAACUACGGAUUAUUAUCUUGUUGGAGCACACACAGGAAUGGAAUGACUGACUUUCUUCAUUUCAUAUAGGUUGAAGGUGCUUGGAACAUUGACGGAAAAGGUCCUAGCAAUUGGGAUAUUUUCACGCACAAAUUUCCAGGUCUACAUUUUCUCUAACCAGUAAACCUUUCUCUUCUAUGUUUAAGGUUUGAGGCAUUUAAGAAAAAAAAAAAAAAAGGGUUUGAGGCAUUUGAAUGUUCCCGGUCAUUUUGUUGUUCAUAUAUGUUUUCUACAAAAUUAUGGUCAACAAUCCUUUUGAUUGACACCAAAUUUUUUCUGUUCAUAUGGACUCCUCUUCUCAUAGUGUUUGAAGCUUUGCUUUCUACAUGAGUUGGAAUCGGAUAGGAUGUUAAAUUAAAUUACUAUAGAAAUUAAGUGCUAUAUGAGGCUAAUUAAGUGGUAUUUUGCAUUUUGUACAUAAUCGAAAAUUUUUUUCAGUGACUUACAUUCCAAGGUUAAUCAACUUUUGUCUAUAUCUUCUUGCAAGUAAAACUGUACAUUUCUCUGUUUUAAGUUGUAAUUAGUACUUUUGUUUGUCGUAUUAAAUACUAUUUAAUAAUAGUAUUGGUCUAUGCGGUGAGAUUUCUUAUGCUUUUGUGAAUAUUUUUUUAUACCAUUUCCAAUUUAUUUAACAUCAUAAUCAAGUGUUUUUCAAUGCAAUAUGUCUAAAGUACUGAUAAUCUAGUCUGACCAACGUCACUCUGAAAGUACCAGGUAAAAUUGCAAAUGGCAGUAAUGGUGAUGUGGCAACAGACUCCUACCAUCGAUAUAAAGUAAUGCAAGUCAAAUCUUUUUUUUUUUUUUUUUUUGUUAAAGAAAAAUUAAACAGUAGUAAUACAGAUAUGAUACAGGCAGAAUAAGCUAAAAAAAACCAGCAAGAAUAAUCGAUUAUUACUGUUUAUCAUUACUUUUUUUUUUUUUUGGCAAAAGUUCAUUUCUACAAUUUUAUCUUUAUGAUCAUAUGACAGGAUGAUAUCAAGCUCUUAAAGGAAAUGAAUGGAGAUUCUUAUCGCUUCUCAAUUGCAUGGAGUAGAGUAAUUCCUGGUAAGGCAUCAGUGAAUAAAUCUUAAUUACGCUAUAAUUUUGGCCCACUAAUUAUCCAAGAAAUGAAGCUCAAGUUGAAUUUGAUGACAUACUAUUACUAAACUUUACAAUGAUUUAAUUUGCAGAUGGCAAGACUAGCAAAGGAAUAAAUGAGAAAGGGAUUCAGUAUUACAAUAAGCUCAUAGACGAACUUCUGGCUAAUGGUAUAUAACAUUAAAAAACGCAAGGCUUCUCUUUCCAUAUGAUCUUCUUAACGGUCUAUGCAUUCAUCUUAUCAAAGUUCCAUUUGUACAGGCUUAACACCAACUGUGACAAUUUUCCACUGGGACGUUCCCCAGGCUUUAGAAGAAGAGUACGGCGGUUUUUUGAGUCCUAAGAUUGUGUGAGUCUUGAUCCCUCUUCAUAUAAUAUUGCUAUAUUAAUCUGUUUGGAUUUCCCCCUUUUUAAAAGACAAGCUUUUCAAAUACAAUAUUAUAAUAAUACACAAAUAAAACAAUUCAAAAAAAUCUCAAAAAAAGGUUACGUUUGGAUUAGCCGUUUUUGGAGCUAUUUUUGAAAUAUUUUACUGUAGUAAUGUAAGUAAAAAUUUUUUAUUGUAGAUGAGAUUGUUUUUUGAGGCUAUUUUUGGUGUUUUUGAGGUUUUUUUUUGUGUUUUUGAAAUUUUUGAAAUUGUUUUUUUUUGUAUUUUAUAUAAUUAUUUUUAUUUGUGUAUUACUAUACUAUUAUACAUGAAAAACUUGUUUUCAUAGAUAUUGUUACAGUAAAGUUUUUCAAAAAUACACCAAAAAACAACUAAUCCAAACUCAGUUAAGAAGCAAUAACAAAUCAACGCAUAUAACACAUCAACAAAACACAGUUUAGCAGAAAAGCAAGAAAUAAAUGAUUCAACAAACAAAUACAAUGUAUGUUGAUUUCGUAGUACCAUAGUAAACAUAAUUACCGCUCCUCACAUUUCAAUAAUUAUACUUACACCCUAAAGAAGGGUUUGUAUAAUUUCAGGGGAGAAUUGCAAUUUUGUUACUCAAAUUCUGAGCACUGCACCAAAUUGUUUCCCAAAAUUUUAUCAUAUUUUUUUAUGCAAAAAAAUUUCUACAAAAAAAAAAAAAAA
This 14589-nucleotide long non-coding RNA is filed under the name Coffea arabica (coffee). RNAcentral describes it as "long non-coding RNA (CARA_LNC000126)". Lineage: Eukaryota; Viridiplantae; Streptophyta; Magnoliopsida; Gentianales; Rubiaceae. The record is from RNAcentral.